Molecule: transfer RNA, 71 nt
Filed under: Cordylochernes scorpioides
Lineage: Eukaryota; Metazoa; Arthropoda; Arachnida; Pseudoscorpiones; Chernetidae
Description: tRNA-Gly
Source: RNAcentral
GGCAUCGGCCGGGAAUCGAACCCAUGCCUCCCGCGUGGCAGGCGAGCAUUCUACCACUGAACCACCGAUGC